RNAcentral lists this ribosomal RNA (480 nucleotides) under uncultured bacterium. RNAcentral's name for it is "bacterial SSU rRNA". It matches the Rfam family "Bacterial small subunit ribosomal RNA", at positions 32 to 517 of the family's 1533-position model. The record is from RNAcentral.
AAUCAACGCUGGCGGCGCGCCUAACACAUGCAAGUCGAACGAGAAAGUGGAGCAAUCCAUGAGUAAAGUGGCGUACGGGUGAGUAACACGUGGAUAACCUGCCCUUUAGUGGGGAAUACCGCUGGGAAACCGGCGACAAUACCGCAUAAGCUCGAGAGAGGAAAGCAGCAAUGCGCUGAAGGAGGGGUCCGCGGCCGAUUAGCUAGUUGGUAGGGUAAAAGCCUACCAAGGCNGUGAUCGGUAGCCGGCCUGAGAGGGCACACGGCCACACUGGCACUGAAACACGGGCCAGACUCCUACGGGAGGCAGCAGUGGGGAAUUGUUCGCAAUGGGCGCAAGCCUGACGACGCAACGCCGCGUGGAGGAUGAAGGUCUUCGGAUUGUAAACUCCUGUUGCUCGGGACGAAAAGCUUCGACCUAAUACGUUGAAGUCUGACGGUACCGAGUGAGGAAGCCCGGCUAACUCUGUGCCAGCAGCCG